Molecule: ribosomal RNA, 609 nt
Filed under: Escherichia coli
Lineage: Bacteria; Pseudomonadati; Pseudomonadota; Gammaproteobacteria; Enterobacterales; Enterobacteriaceae
Description: partial 23S ribosomal RNA
Rfam family: Bacterial large subunit ribosomal RNA
Source: RNAcentral
AAAAGAAAUCAACCGAGAUUCCCCCAGUAGCGGCGAGCGAACGGGGAGCAGCCCAGAGCCUGAAUCAGUGUGUGUGUUAGUGGAAGCGUCUGGAAAGGCGCGCGAUACAGGGUGACAGCCCCGUACACAAAAAUGCACAUGCUGUGAGCUCGAUGAGUAGGGCGGGACACGUGGUAUCCUGUCUGAAUAUGGGGGGACCAUCCUCCAAGGCUAAAUACUCCUGACUGACCGAUAGUGAACCAGUACCGUGAGGGAAAGGCGAAAAGAACCCCGGCGAGGGGAGUGAAAAAGAACCUGAAACCGUGUACGUACAAGCAGUGGGAGCACGCUUAGGCGUGUGACUGCGUACCUUUUGUAUAAUGGGUCAGCGACUUAUAUUCUGUAGCAAGGUUAACCGAAUAGGGGAGCCGAAGGGAAACCGAGUCUUAACUGGGCGUUAAGUUGCAGGGUAUAGACCCGAAACCCGGUGAUCUAGCCAUGGGCAGGUUGAAGGUUGGGUAACACUAACUGGAGGACCGAACCGACUAAUGUUGAAAAAUUAGCGGAUGACUUGUGGCUGGGGGUGAAAGGCCAAUCAAACCGGGAGAUAGCUGGUUCUCCCCGAAAGCU